RNAcentral lists this ribosomal RNA (667 nucleotides) under uncultured Geobacillus sp. RNAcentral describes it as "bacterial SSU rRNA". It matches the Rfam family "Bacterial small subunit ribosomal RNA", at positions 28 to 674 of the family's 1533-position model. Lineage: Bacteria; Bacillati; Bacillota; Bacilli; Caryophanales; Anoxybacillaceae. The record is from RNAcentral.
GACGAACGCUGGCGGCGUGCCUAAUACAUGCAAGUCGAGCGGGCCAAAUCGGAGCUUGCUCUGGUUUGGUCAGCGGCGGACGGGUGAGUAACACGUGGGCAACCUGCCCGCAAGACCGGGAUAACUCCGGGAAACCGGAGCUAAUACCGGAUAACACCGAAGACCGCAUGGUCUUUGGUUGAAAGGCGGCCUUUGGCUGUCACUUGCGGAUGGGCCCGCGGCGCAUUAGCUAGUUGGUGAGGUAACGGCUCACCAAGGCGACGAUGCGUAGCCGGCCUGAGAGGGUGACCGGCCACACUGGGACUGAGACACGGCCCAGACUCCUACGGGAGGCAGCAGUAGGGAAUCUUCCGCAAUGGACGAAAGUCUGACGGAGCGACGCCGCGUGAGCGAAGAAGGCCUUCGGGUCGUAAAGCUCUGUUGUGAGGGACGAAGGAGCGCCGUUUGAAUAAGGCGGCGCGGUGACGGUACCUCACGAGAAAGCCCCGGCUAACUACGUGCCAGCAGCCGCGGUAAUACGUAGGGGGCGAGCGUUGUCCGGAAUUAUUGGGCGUAAAGCGCGCGCAGGCGGUCCUUUAAGUCUGAUGUGAAAGCCCACGGCUCAACCGUGGAGAGUCAUUGGAAACUGGGGGACUUGAGUGCAGGAGAGGAGAGCGGAAUUCCACGU